UUGAACGCUGGCGGCAGGCCUAACACAUGCAAGUCGAGCGGGGGUAGCAAUACCCUAGCGGCGAACGGGUGAGGAAUACUUGGGAAUCUGCCUCGUAGUGGGGGAUAACGUUCCGAAAGGAACGCUAAUACCGCAUACGUCCUACGGGAGAAAGGGGGGGAUCUUCGGACCUCUCGCUAUGAGAUGAGCCCAAGUCGGAUUAGCUAGUUGGUGGGGUAAUGGCCCACCAAGGCUACGAUCCGUAGCUGGUCUGAGAGGAUGAUCAGCCACACUGGAACUGAGACACGGUCCAGACUCCUACGGGAGGCAGCAGUGGGGAAUAUUGGACAAUGGGGGAAACCCUGAUCCAGCCAUGCCGCGUGUGUGAAGAAGGCCUUAGGGUUGUAAAGCACUUUAAGCGAGGAGGAAGGGCUUCGGGUUAAUACCUUGGAGCAUUGACGUUACUCGCAGAAUAAGCACCGGCUAACUCUGU
RNAcentral lists this ribosomal RNA (472 nucleotides) under uncultured bacterium. Its description in RNAcentral is "bacterial SSU rRNA". It matches the Rfam family "Bacterial small subunit ribosomal RNA", at positions 30 to 506 of the family's 1533-position model. The record is from RNAcentral.